CAUUUUUAAAAAGAAAUAAAUUAUCAUUCAUGAUCAACUUUCUUUAAUUUCAUGCUAUACCAAAUUAUCUUUACUUUGGUUUUCUAAAUAUUUCUGUCACUAAAAUAUGAAAAGUAAUUAAGCUGAUAAGAAAGAUACUACAAUUGAUCUUAGCCAAAAGGCUGAGAAGGAAU
Molecule: small nuclear RNA, 173 nt
Filed under: Cricetulus griseus (Chinese hamster)
Lineage: Eukaryota; Metazoa; Chordata; Mammalia; Rodentia; Cricetidae
Description: U2 spliceosomal RNA
Source: RNAcentral